Meriones unguiculatus (Mongolian gerbil) is the source of this 1063-nucleotide long non-coding RNA. RefSeq lists it as uncharacterized. The record is from RefSeq and is a predicted model, not a curated record. NCBI's taxonomy places the organism in Eukaryota, Metazoa, Chordata, Mammalia, Rodentia, Muridae. The transcript has 2 exons.
AAACACACUCGAGGCUGCUCUGUGAGAAGUGUUUCUCUCCAGGCAGUCACUGAUGGCUUGCUACAGACUCUCAAUUAGGACUUCGAUCAUUCUGAGUGGUCUUUGGAUCUCUGUCCCGAAACAAGUCCACAGAAGGACACAGUCACCAGCAGCAUGCUGAACUCCAGGAAAAGGCAAACAGGCCGAUGUCACCAGACCUUAGGUGACACUGUGGUCUAAGUGAUGGAAGUUCCACCUCGGCUACCUCAACCUGGUCCCUGCCGAAUCUAAAGAAUUGCCCCCAAAAGGGUCACAGUGAGGGACCCUGCUUCAGGAGGAAGGGCUCGGACUAAUUUUCCUAGAGCUGUUGUGAGCAGCAGAUGGCCUGCCACCUUGGCCCUGCCUCCUCGACCAGAUGUCUGGGAAGUUCUCAAGGGCUGCAAGCAAGUAACCCCUAGAAGACACCUACUAUGUGCCUGUCUGUCCACAACGAUGGACUGGCACCUUGGUCUAGCUCAUGGUGAAAGAGGGGAGACAGCUUCCCUACCCGACUGUGAUGGGCUACCAUGAGCCUAUCUCUGUGUGAGGGCCUGAGUGAGGCUACUUUGCCAUGCAUGAGAUUUGUGGGAGUUCUGGGAGAGCCCCCACACAUGCCAACGCUUCCUCUGGCACAGCACCCAGUGCUCUAACAGACAGGCCUGCCGUACCUGCUGCUUGCUUGGUGUAAGCCACCCCAGCCUGUGUGCUUCUGCACCUGGCCCACAACACCGUGCUUGGCUUUUCCAGGGAAUCUGGUUCCCCGAAGCCCACAGCAUCUAAGCCCUGGCACGGAUGCACUUCCUUCUGUGUCGCCUGCUCAAGGAAACUUUACCAAGAGUGACCUAUUUCACCCAAAUGAGAACAAAACACCUCCCCCCUACCCCUCUCUCUUGUGAGCACACUCAGCAGGACUUCCAGACCACCACAGGACAGAAGGGAUGGACCAUCAUACCACCCCAUCUUGGCUGAGCUGGCAGGGGGUUAAGGACUGUGUGGAAAGGGCUGGUCCACAGAGCCCCAGGGGUCAGUCACAGUGGGUUCCAGC